AGUUCAUGUAUUUUUUAAGUUAGACAAUGUGCAGGAGCUUUCCAUGCAUUUUUAAACAACUUUAAAUUGUGAAUUUGAACACUUGUCUUCUUUUGUGUCAUUAAUAAAUUAUUAUCUUUUGUAUAAAGUGGAUAUGAUUGUGAAGAUUAGAAAGGGUAAAUCAUUGAUAUUAAUCUGUGUUUUGGCAACCCCAACGAGAAUGUAUUUUUUCUGUUUAAAGAAAUCUCUUUCCUCUGUAAGAAA
This is a long non-coding RNA of Labrus mixtus (cuckoo wrasse), 243 nucleotides long. RefSeq lists it as uncharacterized. The record is from RefSeq and is a predicted model, not a curated record. The transcript is spliced from 2 exons. Lineage: Eukaryota; Metazoa; Chordata; Actinopteri; Labriformes; Labridae.